UUUGUCUAACGUUAUAGUGUAAUCCUUCACCACAAUUGUUUACAAUAAAUCACAGCUAUCAAAUAUUACAUGAAAAAUGUUGAGUACUGUCGAAUUUAUCGUCGAAUUUAGCGUUACAGAAUAGCAGCGAAUUUACCGUCGGAUUUACCGGCAGUAACCAUGUGAAAUUUGUAAGGUGUUUUAGUUACCGGCAGAUUUUGUUUUCCGACAGUAAAUUCGCCGGUAAUUUUUGGAGGAAAAAUAAAUUAAAUUGGCGUGUUCUUUACCAUCAGGUUUACCGUAACUCAAUUUAGUGAAACGAUGUGUUUUGGUGACCUACAAUGGUGUACCGUCGAAAUUUUUCGACGGUAAAAGUGGCGUAAAUUCAAAUCACGAACCUAUUUCUCAUCAUUCGAACUCUCACCACCAUAACCACCAUUCCUCUCUCUCUCUCUUGCGCGUGUACUAGCUAGCCACCUGCCGCCGAGAUCAUUGCCGUUGCCACCCCCUCUCUGUCGCCAUCAACCCCACUAUUGGCGUGCCUCCUUCUUCUCCUUCUUCUCCUCCCUCUUAGCAUCGUCGCGAUCCUUUCCUCCUUCUCCUUUUCGCCCUUCUCAAUCCAUAGCCUCCAGCUCCCUGCUCCGGCAGCUCACAACCGCCACCUCUAGCAUCAGCAACAACCCGAUGUCGUCGUCUUCCUCCCUCCUUCUUCGUUGCUUUCUGCACCCUACAUUCAAGAUUCUUUAAUUUGUUUGAACUUUUUUUUUAAAUCCUGGUAGUUAUUUUAAUUCAUUAGAUUGGUUUAAUUAGUUGAGUUAGGAUAGUUUAGUUUAGAUUUAUAGAUUCUGAAUUGUUACUGCAAGUGUCUGAAAGUGUACUAGCGGCUCAACAACCUUCAUGAAGAUGAAGGAAAGAAUGUCGAAGUCGUUGGAUUGCGAGGCGACGUUGGCGGAGACGUUCAAGUACACCCACACGCUAAAGGAGAACAAUGAGACAUUUGUUUAUCAGCGAUUUCAGGAUCAUUAUGAGUCCUACACAUAGAGACCAGAGACCGCGAGUCAGCCGUCUCAGCAAGGUGGGGAGGACGCCGCUGAUGGAUCUGCAACUAUAGUCGUCGAUCCCGAUGCGGUUUGGCGUGAGACCGCCUCAGCGCCGUACAAGAACCGCGUAUACGGGAUCAGAUCGUUCUUUGCCAGCAGCCUCCACACAUCCACGUUGAGGCCGUCGUCAAGCUCUGCCACUAGUCGAGCCAUUGAGUCCAAAGAAGGCGUGGAUUUGCGGUUGCAGGUUCAAGAGCUCCAGCGCAGCUUUCAGUAGCAGGCUCAGGAGUUUAACGAUUAUUGGAAGAGGUAUCAGGAGAUCCUCAUCCGUGUGACGUCUACUGAUGGGCUCAGACUGAAGUUCCAAAAGUCGAUGGAAUAGAUGCAGCGUUUGGAGGCUCAAAUAAAUGUGUACUACCAGACCCAGAUAUGCACCACUGACAUUGACCUUGCUGGUGGCAGCGAUCCUGCUAGUGACAGGCUUACAGUAGUCCUAUUUCAUGAGAAUCUAUUUCAUGUACACUAAAAAAUUUAUAAACCUAUCAUGAAUAGGAUUAUCAAGGUAAAAUUUAGUUGUCCAUAUAUAUAUAUAACAAAAUCAUCAUAUAUAGGUAUAAA
Molecule: non-coding RNA, 1637 nt
Organism: Arachis ipaensis
Lineage: Eukaryota; Viridiplantae; Streptophyta; Magnoliopsida; Fabales; Fabaceae
Source: RefSeq, a predicted model, not a curated record